GCAGGCUGAAAUUCGCCUGCAUGAAGCCGGAAUUGCUAGUAAUGGCAGGUCAGCAUACUGCCGUGAAUACGUUCCCGGGCCUUGUACACACCGCCCGUCACACCAUGAGAGUUGGGGAUACCCAAAGCCCGUGAGCCAACUGUAAAGAGGCAGCGGUCUAAGGUAGAAUCAAUGAUUGGGGUGAAGUCGUAACAAGGUAUC
This 201-nucleotide ribosomal RNA is filed under the name uncultured bacterium. Its description in RNAcentral is "partial 16S ribosomal RNA". It matches the Rfam family "Bacterial small subunit ribosomal RNA", at positions 1300 to 1500 of the family's 1533-position model. The record is from RNAcentral.